CCUACGGGAGGCAGCAGUGAGGAAUAUUGGUCAAUGGCCGUAAGGCUGAACCAGCCAAGUAGCGUGAGGGAAGACUGCCCUAUGUGUUGUAAACCUCUUUUAUGCGGGGAUAAAGGUGUCCACGUGUGGAUGUUUGCAGGUACCGCAUGAAUCCGGACCGGCUAAUUCCGUGCCAGCAGCCGCGGUAAUACGGAAGGUCCGGGCGUUAUCCGGAUGUAUUGGGUUUAAAGGGAGCGUAGGCCGGUCUUUAAGCGUGCCGGGAAAUUUUGUGGCUCAACCAUGAGCGUGCGGCGCGAACUGGAGACCUUGAGUGCGCGGAAGGCAGGCGGAAUUCGUGGUGUAGCGGUGAAAUGCUUAGAUAUCACGAAGAACCCCGAUGGCGAAGGCAGCCUGCCGCAGCGUUACUGACGCUGAAGCUCGAAAGCGUGGGUAGCGAACAGGAUUAGAUACCCUUGUAGUC
RNAcentral lists this ribosomal RNA (460 nucleotides) under uncultured bacterium. RNAcentral's name for it is "partial 16S ribosomal RNA". It matches the Rfam family "Bacterial small subunit ribosomal RNA", at positions 338 to 795 of the family's 1533-position model. The record is from RNAcentral.